GAUGAACGCUGGCGGCGUGCCUAAUACAUGCAAGUCGAGCGAACAGACGAGGAGCUUGCUCCUCUGACGUUAGCGGCGGACGGGUGAGUAACACGUGGAUAACCUACCUAUAAGACUGGGAUAACUUCGGGAAACCGGAGCUAAUACCGGAUAAUAUAUUGAACCGCAUGGUUCAAUAGUGAAAGACGGUUUUGCUGUCACUUAUAGAUGGAUCCGCGCCGCAUUAGCUAGUUGGUAAGGUAACGGCUUACUAAGGCAACGAUGCGUAGCCGACCUGAGAGGGUGAUCGGCCACACUGGAACUGAGACACGGUCCAGACUCCUACGGGAGGCAGCAGUAGGGAAUCUUCCGCAAUGGGCGAAAGCUUGACGGAGCAACGCCGCGUGAGUGAUGAAGGUCUUCGGAUCGUAAAACUCUGUUAUUAGGGAAGAACAAAUGUGUAAGUAACUAUGCACGUCUUGACGGUACCUAAUCAGAAAGCCACGGCUAACUACGUG
RNAcentral lists this ribosomal RNA (497 nucleotides) under uncultured bacterium. RNAcentral describes it as "partial 16S ribosomal RNA". It matches the Rfam family "Bacterial small subunit ribosomal RNA", at positions 28 to 507 of the family's 1533-position model. The record is from RNAcentral.